This 253-nucleotide ribosomal RNA is filed under the name uncultured bacterium. RNAcentral describes it as "partial 16S ribosomal RNA". It matches the Rfam family "Bacterial small subunit ribosomal RNA", at positions 524 to 776 of the family's 1533-position model. The record is from RNAcentral.
UACGAACUGUGCGAACGUUAUUCGGAAUCACUGGGCUUACAGGGUGCGUAGGCGGCUUGUUAAGUCGGGUGUGAAAGCCCCCGGCUCAACCGGGGAAUUGCGCCCUAAACUGGCGAGCUGGAGUGAGAUAGGGGUGUGUGGAACUUCCGGUGGAGCGGUGAAAUGUGUUGAUAUCGGAAGGAACGCCGGUGGCGAAAGCGACACACUGGAGCUUGUCUGACGCUGAGGCACGAAAGCCAGGGGAGCGAACGGG